GCCAGCAUGGAGUAGUGGUUUGAGUGUUGGACUAUGACUCUUGAGACCAGGGUUCGAAUCUCAGCUUUGCCA
This is a non-coding RNA of Phrynosoma platyrhinos (Desert horned lizard), 72 nucleotides long. The record is from the annotation of a GenBank genome assembly. NCBI's taxonomy places the organism in Eukaryota, Metazoa, Chordata, Lepidosauria, Squamata, Phrynosomatidae.